CACGUAGGGCGCGAGCGUUUGUCCGGAAUUAUUGGGCGUAAAGAGCUCGUAGGCGGCCUGUUGCGUCCGCUGUGAAAGCCCGGGGCUUAACCCCGGGUCUGCAGUGGAUACGGGCAGGCUAGAGGUAGGUAGGGGAGAAUGGAAUUCCCGGUGUAGCGGUGAAAUGCGCAGAUAUCGGGAGGAACACCGGUGGCGAAGGCGGUUCUCUGGGCCUUACCUGACGCUGAGGAGCGAAAGCGUGGGGAGCGAACAGG
RNAcentral lists this ribosomal RNA (254 nucleotides) under uncultured bacterium. RNAcentral's name for it is "partial 16S ribosomal RNA". It matches the Rfam family "Bacterial small subunit ribosomal RNA", at positions 524 to 776 of the family's 1533-position model. The record is from RNAcentral.